RNAcentral lists this non-coding RNA (20 nucleotides) under Arabidopsis thaliana (thale cress). The record is from RNAcentral. Lineage: Eukaryota; Viridiplantae; Streptophyta; Magnoliopsida; Brassicales; Brassicaceae.
AUGGUAUCUGAUGGCGUGCC